GGCCAAGUUUUUAAGGGCGCACGGUGGAUGCCUUGGCACCAGGAACCGAUGAAGGACGUGGGAGGCCGCGAUAGGCCCCGGGGAGUCGUCAACCAGGCUUUGAUCCGGGGGUGUCCGAAUGGGGAAACCCGGCAGUCGUCAUGGGCUGUCACCCGCUGCUGAACUCAUAGGCAGUGUGGAGGGAACGCGGGGAAGUGAAACAUCUCAGUACCCGCAGGAAGAGAAAACAACCGUGAUUCCGGGAGUAGUGGCGAGCGAAACCGGAUGAGGCCAAACCGUAUGCGUGUGAGACCCGGCAGGGGUUGCGUAUACGGGGUUGUGGGAGUGUGCUUGACCGGUCUGCCGGCCGGUCGGAGAGUCAGAAACCGUUGAUGUAGGCGAAGGACAUGCGAAAGGUCCGGCGUAGAGGGUAAGACCCCCGUAGUCGAAACAUCAGCGGCUCUCUUGCGUAUUUCCCAAGUAGCACGGGGCCCGAGAAAUCCCGUGUGAAUCUGGCGGGACCACCCGCUAAGCCUAAAUAUUCCCUGGUGACCGAUAGCGGAUAGUACCGUGAGGGAAUGGUGAAAAGUACCCCGGGAGGGGAGUGAAAUAGUACCUGAAACCGUGUGCCUACAAGCCGUGGGAGCGUCGGAUGCAGCUUGCUGCAUCUCGUGACUGCGUGCCUUUUGAAGAAUGAGCCUGCGAGUUUGCGGUGUGUUGCGAGGUUAACCCGUGUGGGGAAGCCGUAGCGAAAGCGAGUCCGAACAGGGCGUUUCAGUAGCGCGCUCAAGACCCGAAGCGGAGUGAUCUAGCCAUGGGCAGGUUGAAGCGGAGGUAAGACUUCGUGGAGGACCGAACCCACCAGGGUUGAAAACCUGGGGGAUGACCUGUGGUUAGGGGUGAAAGGCCAAUCAAACUCCGUGAUAGCUGGUUCUCCCCGAAAUGCAUUUAGGUGCAGCGUCGUGUGUUUCUUGCCGGAGGUAGAGCACUGGAUAGGCGAUGGGCCCUACCGGGUUACUGACCUUAGCCAAACUCCGAAUGCCGGUAAGUGAGAGCGCGGCAGUGAGACUGUGGGGGAUAAGCUCCAUGGUCGAGAGGGAAACAGCCCAGAGCAUCGACUAAGGCCCCUAAGCGUACGCUAAGUGGGAAAGGAUGUGGAGUCGCAGAGACAACCAGGAGGUUGGCUUAGAAGCAGCCACCCUUGAAAGAGUGCGUAAUAGCUCACUGGUCAAGUGAUUCCGCGCCGACAAUGUAGCGGGGCUCAAGCGUACCGCCGAAGUCGUGUCAUUGCGAUAUCAACCCCCAACGGGGAUCGUGAUGGGUAGGGGAGCGUCGUCUGCCGGGUGAAGCAGCCGCGUAAGCGAGUUGUGGACGGUUGACGAGUGAGAAUGCAGGCAUGAGUAGCGAUUCACACGUGAGAAACGUGUGCGCCGAUUGACUAAGGGUUCCUGGGUCAAGCUGAUCUGCCCAGGGUAAGUCGGGACCUAAGGCGAGGCCGACAGGCGUAGUCGAUGGAUAACCGGUUGAUAUUCCGGUACCCGCUGUGAAGCGUCAAACAUCGAAUCCAGUGAUGCUAAGCCCGUGAAGCCGCCGGCUGAGUCUUCGGACGAGGCCGGAGUGGUGGAGCCGGUGACCCGAGCUGGUAGUAGGUGAGUGAUGGGGUGACGCAGGAAGGUAGUCCAUCCCGGGCGGUGGUUGUCCCGGGGUAAGGGUGUAGGACGUCAGGUAGGUAAAUCCGCCUGGCACGUAGUCUGAGACCUGAUGCCGAGCCGAUUGUGGUGAAGUGGAUGAUCCUAUGCUGUCGAGAAAAGCCUCUAGCGAGUUUCAUGGCGGCCCGUACCCUAAACCGACUCAGGUGGUCAGGUAGAGAAUACCGAGGCGUUCGGGUGAACUAUGGUUAAGGAACUCGGCAAAAUGCCCCCGUAACUUCGGGAGAAGGGGGGCCACGCCUGGUGAUCACUCUUGCAGUGUGAGCUGGGGGUGGCCGCAGAGACCAGCGAGAAGCGACUGUUUACUAAAAACACAGGUCCGUGCGAAGCCGUAAGGCGAUGUAUACGGACUGACGCCUGCCCGGUGCUGGAACGUUAAGGGGACCGGUUAGCUUGGAUUCGUCCAGGCGAAGCUGAGAACUUAAGCGCCAGUAAACGGCGGUGGUAACUAUAACCAUCCUAAGGUAGCGAAAUUCCUUGUCGGGUAAGUUCCGACCUGCACGAAUGGCGUAACGACUUCUCGACUGUCUCAACCAUAGGCCCGGUGAAAUUGCACUACGAGUAAAGAUGCUCGUUUCGCGCAGCAGGACGGAAAGACCCCGGGACCUUUACUACAGUUUGAUAUUGGUGUUCGGUUCGGCUUGUGUAGGAUAGCUGGGAGACUUUGAAAUGCGGACGCCAGUUCGUGUGGAGUCGUCGUUGAAAUACCAGUCUGGUCGUGCUGGAUGUCUAACCUGGGUCCGUGAUCCGGAUCAGGGACAGUGUCUGAUGGGUAGUUUAACUGGGGCGGUUGCCUCCUAAAGGGUAACGGAGGCGCCCAAAGGUUCCCUCAGCCUGGUUGGCAAUCAGGUGUUGAGUGUAAGUGCACAAGGGAGCUUGACUGUGAGACCGACGGGUCGAGCAGGGACGAAAGUCGGGACUAGUGAUCCGGCGGUGGCUUGUGGAAGCGCCGUCGCUCAACGGAUAAAAGGUACCCCGGGGAUAACAGGCUGAUCUUCCCCAAGAGUCCAUAUCGACGGGAUGGUUUGGCACCUCGAUGUCGGCUCGUCGCAUCCUGGGGCUGGAGUCGGUCCCAAGGGUUGGGCUGUUCGCCCAUUAAAGCGGUACGCGAGCUGGGUUUAGAACGUCGUGAGACAGUUCGGUCCCUAUCCGCUGUGCGCGUAGGAGUCUUGAGAAGGGCUGUCCCUAGUACGAGAGGACCGGGACGGACGAACCUCUGGUGUGCCAGUUGUUCUGCCAAGGGCAUGGCUGGUUGGCUACGUUCGGGAGGGAUAACCGCUGAAAGCAUCUAAGCGGGAAGCCUGCUUCGAGAUGAGGACUCCCACCUCUAUAAGAGGGUAAGGCUCCCAGUAGACGACUGGGUUGAUAGGCCGGAUCUGGAAGCACCGUGAGGUGUGGAGGUGACCGGUACUAAUAGGCCGAGGGCUUGUCCAU
This 3122-nucleotide ribosomal RNA is filed under the name Streptomyces ferrugineus. RNAcentral's name for it is "Bacterial large subunit ribosomal RNA". It matches the Rfam family "Bacterial large subunit ribosomal RNA". The record is from Rfam by way of RNAcentral. Lineage: Bacteria; Bacillati; Actinomycetota; Actinomycetes; Kitasatosporales; Streptomycetaceae.